RNAcentral lists this unclassified non-coding RNA (679 nucleotides) under Hevea brasiliensis (rubber tree). The record is from RNAcentral. Lineage: Eukaryota; Viridiplantae; Streptophyta; Magnoliopsida; Malpighiales; Euphorbiaceae.
GAGAGAGAGAGAGAGAGAGAGGGCAGAGCAGAGAAAAUGCCUUACGUGAUCAGCAAAUAUAGGCGUACAUCUUCCUACACGUAUGGGCAUAUUUUGCUGGGUACAAAUUAAAUGUAACCAAAAAGAGUCGCAUAGCAACAACAACUGGUACAAACAAGCUCCUCCAAUACAAUCCUUAAAAUUAGACUAAUACAUACAAUUGAAGCAUAAAAGCAACAAGGUAAACAAUUGUGGGUAAAUCAUCUCUAUGGAUAAAAUUAUAGUGGGUGGACCACAUAAAACUUUUAGAAAUCAACAAUAUGAAAUUAUAUGUAGCCACUUAAACACAGUUGAAAGCCAAGAUUUCACAUCCGUUGCCGUUUAACUUCCAGAGUCUUAGAGCUGACAAAUAACACACUGUAUAAAAACUUCUACUACAAUUAUUUCAUCCUAUGUAAUGCACACUCAACAGAAUCUUCAAUUCACAGAACUUGUAAACAAACUGGCAUCGAAAUCUCACACAUCAAUAAUCAUCAAUUGAAUCUCUUUUUUUUUAUUCUUAGGUGUACCGACAGUAACAAACUUUUUAUUUUUUUGCUGGCAUGGGAACAGCUACUUCAAAACAGUGCUACAACUAGAAGCUAAAAACACAAAGAAUUGACAUAAUAAUGCAUAACCUUAUUGAACCAAGGAUCAUGGA